Molecule: ribosomal RNA, 813 nt
Filed under: uncultured bacterium
Lineage: Bacteria
Description: bacterial SSU rRNA
Rfam family: Bacterial small subunit ribosomal RNA
Source: RNAcentral
AGAGUUUGAUCAUGGCUCAGAACGAACGCUGGCGGCGUGCCUAACACAUGCAAGUCGAGCGAGAAAGUCUCCGCAAGGAGGCGAGUAAAGCGGCGCACGGGUGAGUAACACGUGAGUAAUCUGCCUGAAAGACCGGAACAACCCUCCGAAAGGAAGGCUAAUACUGGAUAAGACCACGGUGGCGAAAGUCGCUGAGGUAAAAAGGUGGCCUCUGUAAACAAGCUAUCACUUUUAGAAGAGCUCGCGGCCCAUCAGCUAGUUGGCGGGGUAAAGGCCCACCAAGGCAACGACGGGUAGCUGGUCUGAGAGGACGAUCAGCCACACUGGAACUGAGACACGGUCCAGACUCCUACGGGAGGCAGCAGUGGGGAAUUUUGCGCAAUGGGCGAAAGCCUGACGCAGCAACGCCGCGUGAGUGAUGAAGGUUUUCGGAUCGUAAAGCUCUUUCGGCCGGGACGAAAACGAGAUGGCUAAUAUCCAUCUUCUUGACGGUACCGGAAGAAGAAGCACCGGCUAACUCUGUGCCAGCAGCCGCGGUAAUACAGAGGGUGCGAGCGUUGUUCGGAAUUAUUGGGCGUAAAGCGCGUGUAGGCGGUAGUGCAUGUCGGGUGUGAAAGCCCUCGGCUUAACCGAGGAAGUGCGUCCGAAACUGCAAUACUAGAGUGCUGGAGAGGGUAGCGGAAUUCCGGGUGUAGAGGUGAAAUUCGUAGAUAUCCGGAGGAACACCAGUGGCGAAGGCGGCUACCUGGACGGACACUGACGCUGAGACGCGAAAGCGUGGGUAGCAAACAGGAUUAGAUACCCUAGUAGUCC